This 73-nucleotide transfer RNA is filed under the name Spirilliplanes yamanashiensis. It matches the Rfam family "tRNA". Rfam says of the family: Transfer RNA (tRNA) molecules are approximately 80 nucleotides in length. Their secondary structure includes four short double-helical elements and three loops (D, anti-codon, and T loops). The record is from Rfam by way of RNAcentral. Lineage: Bacteria; Bacillati; Actinomycetota; Actinomycetes; Micromonosporales; Micromonosporaceae.
GCGCCCGUAGCUCAGCGGAUAGAGCAACAGACUUCUAAUCUGAAGGUCGCAGGUUCGAAUCCUGCCGGGCGCG